RNAcentral lists this transfer RNA (72 nucleotides) under Chelonia mydas (Green sea turtle). It matches the Rfam family "tRNA". From Rfam's summary of the family: Transfer RNA (tRNA) molecules are approximately 80 nucleotides in length. Their secondary structure includes four short double-helical elements and three loops (D, anti-codon, and T loops). Further hydrogen bonds mediate the characteristic L-shaped molecular structure. tRNAs have two regions of fundamental functional importance: the anti-codon, which is responsible for specific mRNA codon recognition, and the 3' end, to which the tRNAs corresponding amino acid is attached (by aminoacyl-tRNA synthetases). tRNAs cope with the degeneracy of the genetic code in two manners: having more than one tRNA (with a specific anti-codon) for a particular amino acid; and 'wobble' base-pairing, i.e. permitting non-standard base-pairing at the 3rd anti-codon position. Lineage: Eukaryota; Metazoa; Chordata; Testudines; Cheloniidae. The record is from Rfam by way of RNAcentral.
GGCAGUGUGGCCUAGUGGGUAGGGCAUUGGAGUGGGACUCACCAGACCUGGCUUCCAUUCCCAGCUCUGCCA